This 427-nucleotide ribosomal RNA is filed under the name uncultured Cellvibrio sp. Its description in RNAcentral is "bacterial SSU rRNA". It matches the Rfam family "Bacterial small subunit ribosomal RNA", at positions 353 to 772 of the family's 1533-position model. The record is from RNAcentral. Lineage: Bacteria; Pseudomonadati; Pseudomonadota; Gammaproteobacteria; Cellvibrionales; Cellvibrionaceae.
AGUGGGGAAUAUUGGACAAUGGGCGCAAGCCUGAUCCAGCCAUGCCGCGUGUGUGAAGAAGGCCUUAGGGUUGUAAAGCACUUUCAGUGGGGAGAAAGGUUAUUCACCUAAUACGUGAGUAAAUUGAUGUUACCCACAGAAGAAGCACCGGCUAACUCCGUGCCAGCAGCCGCGGUAAUACGGAGGGUGCAAGCGUUAAUCGGAAUUACUGGGCGUAAAGCGCACGUAGGUGGUUUGUUAAGCUAGCUGUGAAAUCCCCGGGCUCAACCUGGGCACUGCAGUUGGAACUGGCAAGCUAGAGUAGGGUAGAGGGGUGUGGAAUUCCAGGUGUAGCGGUGAAAUGCGUAGAUAUCUGGAGGAACAUCAGUGGCGAAGGCGACACCCUGGACUCAUACUGACACUGAGGUGCGAAAGCGUGGGGAGCAAA